CGAGAAGUUCCACUAUCAGGCUCUGGUCCGUCACGGGAUGGCAGAAAACUUCUUGAUUGUCCGGGACCGGUCGGAGGUCGCUGGAGUGAGGUCUCGCUGUGUCGCCCAGGCUGUAAUGCAGUGGCGCGAUCACCGCUCACUGCAGUCUCCACCUCCAGGACUCAAGUGAUACUCCUGCCUCAGCCUCUUGAGUGGCUCCUGCUCCCGCCACCACGCCCGGCUAAAUUUUUAAUUACUUGUAGAAAUGGGGCGGGGUGGGGAGUGUCUCCCAAUCUUGCCCAGGCUGGCCUCAAACUCCUGGACUCAAGCGAUCCUCCCGCCUCGGCUCCCUAAGUGCUGGAAUUACAGGCGAGA
RNAcentral lists this long non-coding RNA (354 nucleotides) under Homo sapiens (human). RNAcentral's name for it is "non-protein coding lnc-CTC1-4:1". The record is from RNAcentral. Lineage: Eukaryota; Metazoa; Chordata; Mammalia; Primates; Hominidae.